UGAGGAAUAUUGGUCAAUGGGGCGCAGGCCUGAACCAGCCAAGUCGCGUGAGGGAGGACGGUUUUUUCCUACGGAUUGUAAACCUCUUUUGUCGGGGAGUAACGUGCGGGACGCGUCCCGUAUUGAGAGUACCCGAAGAAAAAGCAACGGCUAAUUACGUGCCAGCAGCCGCGGUAACACGUAAGUUGCGAGCGUUGUUCGGAAUUAUUGGGCGUAAAGGGCAUGUAGGCGGUUUUGCAAGCUUGGUGUGAAAUGCAUAGGCUCAACCUAUGAACUGCAUUGAGAACUACAAGACUUGAGUUACUGAGGUGGAACUGGAAUUCCAGGUGUAGGGGUGAAAUCUGCAGAUAUCUGGAAGAACACCAAUGGCGAAGGCAAGUUUCAAGCAGAUAACUGACGCUGAGGUGCGAAGGUGCGGGGAGCAAACAGGAUUAGAUACCCUGGUAGU
This 448-nucleotide ribosomal RNA is filed under the name uncultured Treponema sp. Its description in RNAcentral is "bacterial SSU rRNA". It matches the Rfam family "Bacterial small subunit ribosomal RNA", at positions 355 to 794 of the family's 1533-position model. The record is from RNAcentral. Lineage: Bacteria; Pseudomonadati; Spirochaetota; Spirochaetia; Treponematales; Treponemataceae.